This 303-nucleotide long non-coding RNA is filed under the name Sorghum bicolor (sorghum). Its description in RNAcentral is "long non-coding RNA (SBIC_LNC017248)". Lineage: Eukaryota; Viridiplantae; Streptophyta; Magnoliopsida; Poales; Poaceae. The record is from RNAcentral.
CCCAAUCAAUUGGUCUCUCCAACAUUACCACAUUUGAGAUCUCCAACCCCCUCUUCCUUUCUAUUUAUAAAAACUUUAAAAGAGCGGUUGUCGAUGCAUAUGUCUAUAAUAAAUAUUGCAGAUCUCGUUGAGUUAAUUGAUGGUUUCCCAAGGACAAGCUUAGUGUCCUUAAACAAGCACUUAUCAGAUCGUAACAUGAACUUCUAAUUAUUUGCAAUAUUGCCUUGUGUAUUGAGCAUAUUGAGAUAAUUGUAGAAAUAUUCCUUCGGGUAUUCUUGUAACUAACCUUUUCAGGAUUGGAGC